AGAGUUUGAUCCUGGCUCAGAAUGAACGCUGGCGGCGUGCCUAACACAUGCAAGUCGUACGAGAAAUCUCGGGCUUGCUCGAGAGAGUAAAGUGGCGCACGGGUGAGUAACACGUAGGUAAUCUACCUCCGGGUCAGGGAUAACCCGCCGAAAGGCGGGCUAAUACCUGGUAAUACCCUGUCUGCGGGAGCAGGCGGGAUCAAAGGUGGCCUCUGCAUGCAAGCUACUGCUUGGAGAUGAGCCUGCGGACCAUUAGCUAGUUGGUAGGGUAAUGGCCUACCAAGGCGACGAUGGUUAGCUGGUCUGAGAGGACGGCCAGCCACACUGGAACUGGAACACGGUCCAGACUCCUACGGGAGGCAGCAGUGAGGAAUAUUGCGCAAUGGGCGAAAGCCUGACGCAGCCAUGCCGCGUGAAUGAUGAAGGUCUUAGGAUUGUAAAAUUCUUUCACCGGGGACGAUAAUGACGGUACCCGGAGAAGAAGCCCCGGCUAACUUCGUGCCAGCAGCCGCGGUAAUACGAAGGGGGCUAGCGUUGCUCGGAAUUACUGGGCGUAAAGGGAGCGUAGGCGGACUGUUUGGUCAGAGGUGAAAGCCCAGGGCUCAACCUUGGAAUUGCCUUUGAUACUGGCAGUCUUGAGUACGGAAGAGGUAUGUGGAACUCCGAGUGUAGAGGUGAAAUUCGUAGAUAUUCGGAAGAACACCAGUGGCGAAGGCGACAUACUGGUCCGUUACUGACGCUGAGGCUCGAAAGCGUGGGGAGCAAACAGGAUUAGAUACCCUGGUAGUCC
RNAcentral lists this ribosomal RNA (790 nucleotides) under uncultured bacterium. Its description in RNAcentral is "bacterial SSU rRNA". It matches the Rfam family "Bacterial small subunit ribosomal RNA", at positions 8 to 796 of the family's 1533-position model. The record is from RNAcentral.